RNAcentral lists this ribosomal RNA (227 nucleotides) under uncultured bacterium. RNAcentral's name for it is "partial 16S ribosomal RNA". It matches the Rfam family "Bacterial small subunit ribosomal RNA", at positions 1274 to 1500 of the family's 1533-position model. The record is from RNAcentral.
CACAAAACACAGUCUCAGUUCAGAUUGUAGGCUGAAACUCGCCUAUAUGAAGUCGGAAUUGCUAGUAAUCGCGGAUCAGCAUGCCGCGGUGAAUACGUUCCCGGGCCUUGUACACACCGCCCGUCACACCAUGAGAGUCGAUAACACCCGAAGCCUGUAGUCUAACAGCAAUGAGGACGCAGUCGAAGGUGGGAUUGAUAAUUAGGGUGAAGUCGUAACAAGGUACC